This is a long non-coding RNA of Lagenorhynchus albirostris (white-beaked dolphin), 437 nucleotides long. RefSeq lists it as uncharacterized. The record is from RefSeq and is a predicted model, not a curated record. The transcript is spliced from 3 exons. NCBI's taxonomy places the organism in Eukaryota, Metazoa, Chordata, Mammalia, Artiodactyla, Delphinidae.
CAUAAAUUGUGAUUGAAAAAAUGAUGGGUUAUUAUUCACAAAAACUGCAAAUGAAACUUUGAGCCAUGACAGAGCAAGGAUACAAUAAAAGCUUCGAACUGAAACUCCAUCAGGCCCAAACUAUGAAUGGCACAUUCUACAGGAUAAAACCUCAACAAACCCCUUACUGUAGAGAGAGACAGUAAUGGUCAAGGCCACCCACCUCGCACUGUGCUGGUAUUAGGAACAAGAAGAGUAGCUGGGAACUCUGGAUCACAUGCUUCCCCUGCACUUGGGCAUGGUUAGCAAGUCACUUUUCAGCCCAGUGAUAAUCAACACCAGCCGGGAGCUAAAAGUGCGCCACCUGAAAAAACAGCUUUUUGUUGAUGCCAAAUCUAUCCAUCCAGGGCACUCCCAGCUCUUCAACUUCAAAAGAGACAAGUAAACUCAGGUGAAAA